GGCGAGAUAGCUCAGUUGGUAGAGCACACGACUGAAAAUCGUGGUGUCCUCGGUUCGAUUCCGAGUCUCGCCA
Molecule: transfer RNA, 73 nt
Filed under: Actinomycetes bacterium
Lineage: Bacteria; Bacillati; Actinomycetota; Actinomycetes
Also listed under: 3 other names
Description: Actinobacteria bacterium tRNA-Phe
Rfam family: tRNA
About the family: Transfer RNA (tRNA) molecules are approximately 80 nucleotides in length. Their secondary structure includes four short double-helical elements and three loops (D, anti-codon, and T loops).
Source: RNAcentral